CUGCCACUGCCAGAGAUGAACACACAGAAAGGAGGAACUGUCCUUCAGUGGUAGUCAGUACUGGAAAGCAGUGCCACACACAGAGCAGUGAUCCUCAUGGGAUCGUCGAGUCACAAAGUGCCCGGAUAUGGUCAGGAGGAGAUGUGUUGCUCUUCAAACCUGUGCCGCUUGGCUUUCCUCGCCCACGCGCCCGCGUGCCUCCCAGCAAAAGGCUCUUUGGAAGAAAGAGACCGGAGCAGUGGCGCUGAGGGGUGCUCUGCCCGCUCACGUGUGCACACAGUGCAGGGCAGUGUGAGUUGUCCAAGCAGCAGCUCCGUUCCCCGAGCCGUUGCUGUGAACCAAAGGGGAUCACUGGGCGAUCCGGAAUGGGAGCGGUUCCCAAAUGGGCCCAAACAAAGCAUUUCCAUGCGUAAAUCCGCUGCCUGAUGGAGCACAGCGCAUUCAGAAGUGCAAAUAUCCAUCCUUAGAGAUGUUUCUGUGGGGCAGGAAUGGGGCCCGGUCUGCAUCAGGAACAUCAGCAGUGCAGCGAGGCGAAAGGGAUGGAGCUGAUUCAGUUUCCGCUGGUAAAGGGCGGAUUGGCUGUGAGGAUCUCCCGCAGUCUGCACUCCGGCGGAAAAAUCGGCGCCAGGCCCUCCACGCAUCGGCUCCGACGGCAGCGCUCUAUGGAACAGCAAACAGACGUGUCCGCAGUCACUCUGCAUUCCUCAUGGCCCAGUGGCAGCUGCCUCCCGCUCGGUGAGUCCCAUCGCCAGGGCUGAGCCGCAGCUGGCAGCUCCACGCCGGCUCCAUCAUCCGUCCCCAGGUUUUGUCCGCUGUCCUCCGCGGUUACCGUCAACGUCUCGCCUCCGUGACAGCAGGACGGGAGCUUCUCACGGCGUUGUAAAGACGAACGCAGCUCGUUUUGCAUCCACUUGUCCCCCAUUGGCCACCCCUCCACCCACCCCUCGACCAUCCCAUGGCAGAGGGUUGAAGCCCGUGCUGCUCCACCGGCCCCAAAGCCGUCGGCGUCGUGGCGUAGUUAAUUAUGGGGCACUGCCAACCCCAUCGCCGUGUCCUCGGCAAAGAGUUUCGCUUCGCAUCUGAAUCGCUCUCUGAAACAAUAAGUUAAGGAUACUCCUUUUGUUGCCAUCAAAAUGCGCUUUGUCCAUUUAGUUGUGCCCAUAUUAUGGGUUUCGAGGUGCCCAUGUCCAUUACGCUGUACCCACGUCCAUUGGGCUGCGCCCAUGCCCCUUAUGGGUUGAGCCUUCUUUUCUGUGUUGAAAACCUACACAGACAUCCACAAACAUGGACACGCUCGUAACGCUUGGUGAAAAAUUGAGAUACAGUGCAUCCUGCGUGGAGCGCUCCAUCAGAAAGUGCCCUGUGUGAAGAGGAAGCUGCGGGCGGAUUUGUGCUCGCACCGCUCC
Molecule: long non-coding RNA, 1406 nt
Filed under: Numida meleagris (helmeted guineafowl)
Lineage: Eukaryota; Metazoa; Chordata; Aves; Galliformes; Numididae
Description: lncRNA (ENSNMEG00000008093.1)
Source: RNAcentral